This 397-nucleotide ribosomal RNA is filed under the name uncultured bacterium. RNAcentral's name for it is "bacterial SSU rRNA". It matches the Rfam family "Bacterial small subunit ribosomal RNA", at positions 364 to 758 of the family's 1533-position model. The record is from RNAcentral.
UUGAAGUGGGCGCAGCCUGAGCAGCCUGCCGCGUGUAUGAAGAAGGCCUUCGGGUUGUAAAGUACUUCCAGUUGUGAGGAAGGGUGUGUAGUUAAUAGCUGCACAUCUUGACGUUAGCAACAGAAGAAGCACCGGCUAACUCCGUGCCAGCAGCCGCGGUAAUACGGAGGGUGCGAGCGUUAAUCGGAAUUACUGGGCGUAAAGCGCAUGCAGGUGGUUCAUUAGGUCAGAUGUGAAAGCCCGGGGCUCAACCUCGGAACUGCAUUUGAAACUGGUGAACUAGAGUACUGUAGAGGGGGGUAGAAUUUCAGGUGUAGCGGUGAAAUGCGUAGAGAUCUGAAGGAAUACCAGUGGCGAAGGCGGCCCCCUGGACAGAUACUGACACUCAGAUGCGAAA